UUAAAUUGAAGAGUUUGAUCAUGGCUCAGAUUGAACGCUGGCGGCAGGCCUAACACAUGCAAGUCGAACGGUAGCACAGAGAGCUUGCUCUCGGGUGACGAGUGGCGGACGGGUGAGUAAUGUCUGGGAAACUGCCUGAUGGAGGGGGAUAACUACUGGAAACGGUAGCUAAUACCGCAUAACGUCGCAAGACCAAAGAGGGGGACCUUCGGGCCUCUUGCCAUCAGAUGUGCCCAGAUGGGAUUAGCUAGUAGGUGGGGUAACGGCUCACCUAGGCGACGAUCCCUAGCUGGUCUGAGAGGAUGACCAGCCACACUGGAACUGAGACACGGUCCAGACUCCUACGGGAGGCAGCAGUGGGGAAUAUUGCACAAUGGGCGCAAGCCUGAUGCAGCCAUGCCGCGUGUAUGAAGAAGGCCUUCGGGUUGUAAAGUACUUUCAGCGGGGAGGAAGGUGUUGUGGUUAAUAACCGCAGCAAUUGACGUUACCCGCAGAAGAAGCACCGGCUAACUCCGUGCCAGCAGCCGCGGUAAUACGGAGGGUGCAAGCGUUAAUCGGAAUUACUGGGCGUAAAGCGCACGCAGGCGGUCUGUCAAGUCGGAUGUGAAAUCCCCGGGCUCAACCUGGGAACUGCAUUCGAAACUGGCAGGCUAGAGUCUUGUAGAGGGGGGUAGAAUUCCAGGUGUAGCGGUGAAAUGCGUAGAGAUCUGGAGGAAUACCGGUGGCGAAGGCGGCCCCCUGGACAAAGACUGACGCUCAGGUGCGAAAGCGUGGGGAGCAAACAGGAUUAGAUACCCUGGUAGUCCACGCCGUAAACGAUGUCGAUUUGGAGGUUGUGCCCUUGAGGCGUGGCUUCCGGAGCUAACGCGUUAAAUCGACCGCCUGGGGAGUACGGCCGCAAGGUUAAAACUCAAAUGAAUUGACGGGGGCCCGCACAAGCGGUGGAGCAUGUGGUUUAAUUCGAUGCAACGCGAAGAACCUUACCUGGUCUUGACAUCCACAGAACUUUCCAGAGAUGGAUUGGUGCCUUCGGGAACUGUGAGACAGGUGCUGCAUGGCUGUCGUCAGCUCGUGUUGUGAAAUGUUGGGUUAAGUCCCGCAACGAGCGCAACCCUUAUCCUUUGUUGCCAGCGGUUAGGCCGGGAACUCAAAGGAGACUGCCAGUGAUAAACUGGAGGAAGGUGGGGAUGACGUCAAGUCAUCAUGGCCCUUACGACCAGGGCUACACACGUGCUACAAUGGCGCAUACAAAGAGAAGCGACCUCGCGAGAGCAAGCGGACCUCAUAAAGUGCGUCGUAGUCCGGAUUGGAGUCUGCAACUCGACUCCAUGAAGUCGGAAUCGCUAGUAAUCGUAGAUCAGAAUGCUACGGUGAAUACGUUCCCGGGCCUUGUACACACCGCCCGUCACACCAUGGGAGUGGGUUGCAAAAGAAGUAGGUAGCUUAACCUUCGGGAGGGCGCUUACCACUUUGUGAUUCAUGACUGGGGUGAAGUCGUAACAAGGUAACCGUAGGGGAACCUGCGGUUGGAUCACCUCCUUACCUUAAAGAA
Molecule: ribosomal RNA, 1552 nt
Filed under: Enterobacter cloacae
Lineage: Bacteria; Pseudomonadati; Pseudomonadota; Gammaproteobacteria; Enterobacterales; Enterobacteriaceae
Description: bacterial SSU rRNA
Rfam family: Bacterial small subunit ribosomal RNA
Source: RNAcentral